Molecule: ribosomal RNA, 879 nt
Filed under: uncultured bacterium
Lineage: Bacteria
Description: bacterial SSU rRNA
Rfam family: Bacterial small subunit ribosomal RNA
Source: RNAcentral
AGAGUUUGAUCCUGGCUCAGGAUGAACGCUGGCGGCGUGCCUAACACAUGCAAGUCGAGCGAUUUACUUCGGUAAAGAGCGGCGGACGGGUGAGUAACGCGUGGGUAACCUGCCUCAUACACAUGGAUAACAUACCGAAAGGUAUGCUAAUACAAGAUGAUAUAAGAGAUUCACAUGGAUUUCUUAUCAAAGCUCCGGCGGUAUGAGAUGGACCCGCGUCUGAUUAGCUAGUUGGUAAGGUAACGGCUUACCAAGGCGACGAUCAGUAGCCGACCUGAGAGGGUGAUCGGCCACAUUGGAACUGAGACACGGUCCAAACUCCUACGGGAGGCAGCAGUGGGGAAUAUUGCACAAUGGGCGAAAGCCUGAUGCAGCAACGCCGCGUGAGCGAUGAAGGCCUUCGGGUCGUAAAGCUCUGUCCUCAAGGAAGAUGAUGACGGUACUUGAGGAGGAAGCCCCGGCUAACUACGUGCCAGCAGCCGCGGUAAUACGUAGGGGGCUAGCGUUAUCCGGAUUUACUGGGCGUAAAGGGUGCGUAGGUGGUUUCUUAAGUCAGGAGUGAAAGGCUACGGCUCAACCGUAGUAAGCUCUUGAAACUGGGAAACUUGAGUGCAGGAGAGGAAAGUGGAAUUCCUAGUGUAGCGGUGAAAUGCGUAGAUAUUAGGAGGAACACCAGUAGCGAAGGCGGCUUUCUGGACUGUAACUGACACUGAGGCACGAAAGCGUGGGGAGCAAACAGGAUUAGAUACCCUGGUAGUCCACGCCGUAAACGAUGAGUACUAGGUGUCGGGGGUUACCCCCCUCGGUGCCGCAGCUAACGCAUCAAGUACUCCGCCUGGGGAGUACGCUCGCAAGAGUGAAACUCAAAGGAAUUGACGG